This 260-nucleotide long non-coding RNA is filed under the name Nicotiana benthamiana. RNAcentral's name for it is "long non-coding RNA (NBEN_LNC022845)". The record is from RNAcentral. Lineage: Eukaryota; Viridiplantae; Streptophyta; Magnoliopsida; Solanales; Solanaceae.
AAAUCUAUAUUAAAUAAUUUGUAGCCUAAAAUAACGCCUGUAUUUAUGGCUCCUAAUUAAUCUUUGAUUUUGUACCAAAUAAAUGCUAAUUCAGUUAAGAUAAAAAUCCCUUCAAUUAAUCAUACUUUCUUAAAUGAGAACCUACUGUCAAGCUUGGAAGGGAUUUUUGAGUGUUUGAUGAAAAUAAACAAAAUUAUGAAAUUAUGAUUUGGCAAUCCUAUUCAACUAACCCAAUCAAGGAAGAAGCUUUUAAAAUGUAG